This 250-nucleotide long non-coding RNA is filed under the name Prunus persica (peach). RNAcentral describes it as "long non-coding RNA (PPER_LNC003588)". The record is from RNAcentral. Lineage: Eukaryota; Viridiplantae; Streptophyta; Magnoliopsida; Rosales; Rosaceae.
GGGGUGGAGCCUGUAGAACCAAUUCAGGGCCGCGCCGCUGAGGGUGGAAGGGAAAAGGAGGCACAUGCCUUCAUCAGUGAGGCCUUUGCACCCAAGGGCAGACUGGAAGGAGUGGAUGUGGGUGAGAGGGUCCUCCGUGCCAGUGUAGAAAGCGAUGCGGAGUGGCUGGAUAUCUUUCUCCUGGUGGUAGUGGAGGAUGCGUUCGGUAAAGGGCCCUGGUCGUGGUUUUGCCCAGAGGGGUUGAUGGCUG